Molecule: non-coding RNA, 29 nt
Filed under: Bombyx mori (domestic silkworm)
Lineage: Eukaryota; Metazoa; Arthropoda; Insecta; Lepidoptera; Bombycidae
Source: RNAcentral
UGAUAAUGCUUGCGGUUCUAAAACCUUUC